UGGGGAAUAUUGCACAAUGGGCGCAAGCCUGAUGCAGCCAUGCCGCGUGUGUGAAGAAGGCCUUCGGGUUGUAAAGCACUUUCAGCGGGGUGGAAGGCGAUAAGGUUAAUAACCUUGUCGAUUGACGUUACCCGCAGAAGAAGCACCGGCUAACUCCGUGCCAGCAGCCGCGGUAAUACGGAGGGUGCAAGCGUUAAUCGGAAUUACUGGGCGUAAAGCGCACGCAGGCGGUCUGUCAAGUCGGAUGUGAAAUCCCCGGGCUUAACCUGGGAACGGCAUUCGAAACUGGCAGGCUAGAGUCUUGUAGAGGGGGGUAGAAUUCCAGGUGUAGCGGUGAAAUGCGUAGAGAUCUGGAGGAAUACCGGUGGCGAAGGCGGCCCCCUGGACGAAGACUGACGCUCAGGUGCGAAAGCGUGGGGAGCAAACAGG
Molecule: ribosomal RNA, 429 nt
Filed under: Chloroflexota bacterium
Lineage: Bacteria; Bacillati; Chloroflexota
Description: Chloroflexi bacterium partial 16S ribosomal RNA
Rfam family: Bacterial small subunit ribosomal RNA
Source: RNAcentral